RNAcentral lists this ribosomal RNA (522 nucleotides) under uncultured bacterium. Its description in RNAcentral is "bacterial SSU rRNA". It matches the Rfam family "Bacterial small subunit ribosomal RNA", at positions 988 to 1509 of the family's 1533-position model. The record is from RNAcentral.
CCAGAGAACUUUCCAGAGAUGGAUUGGUGGCCUUCGGGAACUCUGAGACAGGUGCUGCAUGGCUGUCGUCAGCUCGUGUUGUGAAAUGUUGGGUUAAGUCCCGCAACGAGCGCAACCCUUAUCCUUUGUUGCCAGCGGUUAGGCCGGGAACUCAAAGGAGACUGCCAGUGAUAAACUGGAGGAAGGUGGGGAUGACGUCAAGUCAUCAUGGCCCUUACGAGUAGGGCUACACACGUGCUACAAUGGCGCAUACAAAGAGAAGCGACCUCGCGAGAGCAAGCGGACCUCAUAAAGUGCGUCGUAGUCCGGAUUGGAGUCUGCAACUCGACUCCAUGAAGUCGGAAUCGCUAGUAAUCGUGGAUCAGAAUGCCACGGUGAAUACGUUCCCGGGCCUUGUACACACCGCCCGUCACACCAUGGGAGUGGGUUGCAAAAGAAGUAGGUAGCUUAACCUUCGGGAGGGCGCUUACCACUUUGUGAUUCAUGACUGGGGUGAAGUCGUAACAAGGUAAGCGUAGUGCU